Molecule: ribosomal RNA, 439 nt
Filed under: uncultured bacterium
Lineage: Bacteria
Description: SSU rRNA
Rfam family: Bacterial small subunit ribosomal RNA
Source: RNAcentral
AGAGCGAACGCUGGCGGCAGGCUUAACACAUGCAAGUCGAGCGCCCCGCAAGGGGAGCGGCAGACGGGAGAGUAACACGUGGGAACGUACCUUUCGGUUCGGAACAACCCAGGGAAACUUGGGCUAAUACCGGAUACGUCCGUAAGGAGAAAGAUUUAUCGCCGAAAGAUCGGCCCGCGUCUGAUUAGCUAGUUGGUGAGGUAACGGCUCACCAAGGCGACGAUCAGUAGCUGGUCUGAGAGGAUGAUCAGCCUCACUGGGACUGAGACACGGCCCAGACUCCUACGGGAGGCAGCAGUGGGGAAUAUUGGACAAUGGGCGCAAGCCUGAUCCAGCCAUGCCGCGUGGGUGAUGAAGGCCCUAGGGUUGUAAAGCCCUUUGGCGGGGAAGAUAAUGACGUACCGCAGAAGAAGCCCGGCUAACUCGUGCCAGCAGCCGC